This 216-nucleotide long non-coding RNA is filed under the name Homo sapiens (human). RNAcentral's name for it is "HSALNT0305742". The record is from RNAcentral. Lineage: Eukaryota; Metazoa; Chordata; Mammalia; Primates; Hominidae.
GUUAAAUACCUUCCUCGGGUGGAUCCUGGUCUGACCCCCGUGGUAAUAACGUUAUCAUUGAUUCUUUAUCAUUUCCUAGAUUCUGUGUCCGUGCCUUGUUUGAAGAGCUUUUGAGAUACUCUUCCGAAAAAUGAAGACCUGCUCAAAUGACUUUUCCGUCAUUCAGCCAAACCACUGUCUUUCCCGUCAGGCCCAGAGGCGCCUGGUUCCCGCCCG